This 513-nucleotide ribosomal RNA is filed under the name Bifidobacterium adolescentis JCM 15918. RNAcentral's name for it is "bacterial SSU rRNA". It matches the Rfam family "Bacterial small subunit ribosomal RNA", at positions 185 to 708 of the family's 1533-position model. Lineage: Bacteria; Bacillati; Actinomycetota; Actinomycetes; Bifidobacteriales; Bifidobacteriaceae. The record is from RNAcentral.
GACGCAUGUCGUGUCGGGAAAGAUUCAUCGGUAUGGGAUGGGGUCGCGUCCUAUCAGCUUGAUGGCGGGGUAACGGCCCACCAUGGCUUCGACGGGUAGCCGGCCUGAGAGGGCGACCGGCCACAUUGGGACUGAGAUACGGCCCAGACUCCUACGGGAGGCAGCAGUGGGGAAUAUUGCACAAUGGGCGCAAGCCUGAUGCAGCGACGCCGCGUGCGGGAUGACGGCCUUCGGGUUGUAAACCGCUUUUGACUGGGAGCAAGCCCUUCGGGGUGAGUGUACCUUUCGAAUAAGCACCGGCUAACUACGUGCCAGCAGCCGCGGUAAUACGUAGGGUGCAAGCGUUAUCCGGAAUUAUUGGGCGUAAAGGGCUCGUAGGCGGUUCGUCGCGUCCGGUGUGAAAGUCCAUCGCUUAACGGUGGAUCCGCGCCGGGUACGGGCGGGCUUGAGUGCGGUAGGGGAGACUGGAAUUCCCGGUGUAACGGUGGAAUGUGUAGAUAUCGGGAAAGAACA